UGGGCGGCAAAAACGUACCAAAGGCUCUCUCUCAUCACCUCCGAUUGCAGAAAUCACAGAAGUCGUUCUUCAAGUUCCAUGUGAUCAGCUCUCUCAAGAACUCUCCUGAUGAGAUUGUGAGGAAUGAAUGAACGGAAGAAGAAGAAGAAGAUGAAGUGCCGGGCUUACCUUGUUGCUGACAGAAUGUGCAGCAUGCAGCCCAACCGGCUUGGAACAGGAAGGUUUCUCGACCGACAAGUACUUAAGAAUGCAUGACUUGAAGGUGCUCAAAACAGAGAGGAUGUCAAAACCCACAGUGGAAAAAUGGUCUGAAACAUCUUAUGGAGUUGUAAUAUUACAGGAUCAUAGACAAGUGUACCAUUGGAUCGGAUCCUUGUGGGCUCCAAUCAGAGAUUUUCUCCAUGUAACCAAGGUAAGUUACAAAUGACUUUUCACCUAUUUUCCCAUACCCCUUCUGAUUAAUAAUGCUAUUAUUUGUCAACAUGAAUAUAUUCACUGAUUUGCAUUAAAAAGUAAACAAAGAAAUUGAAAAACCGUAAGGUUUUUUUUAGGUUGCAUGGCAAAUUAAAGGAAAGAGAAAUGAAAAUUUCAAACCUAAACGGAAAUUUUUUUUUAUAAUUAUUACUCCACAUGUUUAUGUUCAUUUCCUCCAAAUAAUGAAUAGGAGUCUAGCCUUAAUUCAUUUAACCAGGAUCACAGUUUGUUAAAACUUGUUUUUUUAACUGUUGUUUUUCAAAUUGAUCCCAAUUAAAAUUUGGGAUCGAUCUCAAUCAAUACAGAUCCAGUUCGGGUGAUUUUUCUGAUCCCAAUCUGAUUUUUUACUCAUCAAUUGCUAAACAAAAGGAAUUGUUUAUGAUAGACAGUAUUAUAUAUUACAUUUCCAUCUUAAUAAAAAGGAAAAAUGAACAAGCUUAUAUUACAGCAUAGUCAACAACAAUGUACUAAAUAAUAUCCAGAUUCAUAAUAUAUUGAAUUGUUCAUACAACUUGUAAGAUGGAACAAAUGGUCUGUACCACUGUCAAGAUGAUGAGGAAGACUGCAGCAAGUAAUGAAAUUAAUGCCCAUGGAUUUUUGAAAUAAGUCUGCUUUAAAAGUGCCUUCCAUCUGUUCCAUGUUUUAUUUUGAUACUUCUCCACAUCCUCAAUAACACCAGAGAAACAAGGAUCAUUAAUCUUAGCAUGUUUAACAAUGUUGUUAAAUAAGGUCACCACUUCUUCUGGGUUCCCAAGGUGGUUCUCAAUAAUUCCUUUCUUUACUAGCAACUCUGCAUCACUUUGAGUAUCAAUGAGGCCAUCCAUGAAAGCUAGGUAGGCUGUGAAAUAAUCACUAAUGUCUUCUUGACCUUGGUCAAAGGCAAUGGGAUUUCUAAGAGUGUAUUGUCAAGUCAGAAAUUGCAAUGGGUGGGAUUGUUAAUACUCCAUUAUUGAAGGUUAUGUCAAGUAAAGAUGUCUUUGAAGAGUCCGACGGUGAAGACCCCCUUAGGUACUUGAUGCCGGCUCUCCUCAGCUCCGAGGCACAACUUGUAUGCGCCCAUCCCUUUGUACCAGAUUUCUUCUUCCUCGUAUAUGAAUUGAGGACAAUUUGUAAAAGAUCAAGAAAAUGCUUUGCUUCUCCCUCUAGCAAUGGUAUUGAUUUUAGUUCUUCAGGUGAUGAUGCGCCAUGGAGUCUUUUUCCAAACCACAUUAAGAGGUUACCAUAGAUGUCAUGACUGAAGGUGUUCAAAUAGGGUAGGCCAUAUAAAUUCUGACUCUGAUUGAAGGUGGUUGGGGUUUUGGAGUUUACAAGUUAGGCCAUAUAAACGCUCAAGAACAAAGAAAGGAAGCUGAUUUUCAAGAUUAAUAAGGUCAGGGAGAAGUUACCAAAACCAUGAACGAUUCGAAACUAAGUCAUCCUUCUCUUUUGUUUUAAUGAUCUUGAAGAUUUCAAGUAUGAAGCAACCAUCAAUCACAAUCAUCUUGACAAACUCAUCUUUUUGGAAACCCUUUCCCGUGGUUUCUGAAUAACACCUUCGAGCUUUUUCUCCCAACUCACUCAGCUUCAACACAAGCAUCCAAGGUUUUCUCUUUGUGUCAAACCAGAAAAUGAUUUAAAUAGAGCAACUUAUGUGCUUGCAUGGGUUGUAAGUGUUCCUCGUUAGAGUGCUAAAGGCCAAUUGAGACUGAUUGAGGUGUGUAGGCUUCUGGCUUUAGCUUUCGAAGACGUUUGUGCACUCAGAAUAUACUAUAUUUGGAUUGUAAGGAAUGAUUGACCUCUCCUCGUUCUUUCUCGAUGGAGUUUACUAAUUCUUUAUUUCAUCGUUGUUCAAUUGGCAAUCAUCAUCGCAUCCUCUUUUUUUAGUAGAAUUGCUUGAAGAACUAGCAAAAUAGAGUACCAUUGUCUGAAGCUCCCUAGCUACUGUUCUUUCCAACUGGUAGAGGAUAUCACGAGCAGUAUUGGUAGUCCAAAGUCUUGUGAAAACUAGAAGUUUACAAUUGUAUAGCUCAGUAUGGUUUCAUAACUAGAUGAGAAAAGUUGAAGGGAAAAAAAAAAGUGAAACAAGAACAAUAUUGGGAAAAGAAAGCUACCCAAUUGUGCAUGCCGUCUAUGCCUAGAAACUAGAAAUCAUGAAAAUAUGCCCUUGCCCCUCUAAUUGGAUACUUAAAUACACAUUCUCAUUGGCCAAGGCACUAUACAGUGAUCAAGUGACCAAGUAGUUUUCUUUCUCCCUAACAAUAUAUAGCAAAAAUUCUUACAAAAAUAGCAAUAAACUCCUUAGCAUUUUUUUUUUCAUAUACAAAACUCUUUAGCCAAGUUAUGGAGCAAAAACCCAACAAGUGAUUUUAUUUGGUACAAAGGAAACUAGUAAGCCAGCUAAGCCAAGGAUUCAACUCAUCACCCAGAGAGAGAGAAACUUUCUUCCCCAACCCCACUUCCCAGCCCCACACCCAAUAAAUAAAUAAAUUGUACCCUUGAGAUAAGAUAUAUUAGACAUAAUUGUACAUCUACCGACAAUUGUCAUAUAAUUCAGCUCUCAAAAGAGUGGAAAAAUAAAUAAAUAAAAACUAAGGCAAAGCUGAGCAAUCAUGCACCACCAUAUAUAGUAUAAUUUUUAGAUCAAACACAAGCAUUACCAUUUAUGUUCUACACAAGAAGAGGGAAGAGGAAGAGGAAGAGGAAGACGAUGAGGUGCACAUACACACAUAGGCUUGCCUUGUUAGCUGUUGGUGACAUAAGAAUGAAGUUGCUCAAAAUGGAGAGGUAUUUAGUCUCUUAAUCUUCUCAAUUGAUUGUGUUUAGGCUUUACUUUAACCCAAUAUAUAGAAUGUAGAAUGACUAUUCUAGCUUCUCCAUUCUCAAAUCUCAAUGAGAAGAUUUGCUUUAUACUCACUGCAGAAUUUUUACCUUUCCUUUUUCUUUCAAUUUCAAUUUUCCAGUAAAAAAAUGAAACUUUCAUCAACUCCUAAUCAAAUAGCUCCCUUUGGAAUUUAAGGAUCAAAGGCAAUCUCUAUUUCCUUUACUUGCUACAACCAUAUUAUAAAGUAGGUGCACUGUAAAAUAGAUUACAAAUGAAUUGUGUAACCAUUGCAGUAGGUGAAUAGCUAGGUGAUAUUCAGAUAGACCCUUUAAAGAAAGAAAGGAAAAAGAAAAAGGUGUAUCUUUUUGUAACCAUGAAUGUUGCAAACAUAAUUUAUAACCAUACACUUUUUAUCCUA
Molecule: long non-coding RNA, 3692 nt
Organism: Macadamia integrifolia
Lineage: Eukaryota; Viridiplantae; Streptophyta; Magnoliopsida; Proteales; Proteaceae
Exons: 3
Source: RefSeq, a predicted model, not a curated record